RNAcentral lists this small RNA (790 nucleotides) under Pan troglodytes (chimpanzee). RNAcentral's name for it is "processed transcript". Lineage: Eukaryota; Metazoa; Chordata; Mammalia; Primates; Hominidae. The record is from RNAcentral.
GGGGAUGCGGGUGUCACUGGCCGUAAGAUUAUUGUAGACACCUAUGGCGGCUGGGGGGCUCAUGGUGGUGGGGCCUUCUCUGGGAAGGACUACACCAAGGUGGACCGCUCAGCCGCAUACGCUGCCCGCUGGGUGGCCAAGUCUCUGGUGAAAGCAGGGCUCUGCCGGAGAGUGCUUGUCCAGGUUUCCUAUGCCAUUGGUGUGGCCGAGCCGCUGUCCAUUUCCAUCUUCACCUACGGAACCUCUCAGAAGACAGAGCGAGAGCUGCUGGAUGUGGUGCAUAAGAACUUCGACCUCCGGCCGGGCGUCAUUGUCAGGGAUUUGGACUUGAAGAAGCCCAUCUACCAGAAGACAGCAUGCUACGGCCAUUUCGGAAGAAGCGAGUUCCCAUGGGAGGUUCCCAGGAAGCUUGUAUUUUAGAGCCAGGAGGAGCUGGGCCUGGUCUCACCCUGGAGGCACCUGGUGGCCAUGCUUCUCUUCCCCAGACGCCUGGCUGCUGAUUGCCUUCCCCACCCACCAACCCUCGGGGCAAAGCCAGGUCCCUCUCAUUUAGCCUGUCCUGUCAUCAUCAUGGCCGGCUGGAGGCAGGGGCUUCCUGGUGCUGGAGGUUGGAUCUUGAUGCUGAGUGCAUUUGGAGGGAGUGAGUGGCCCUUUCGGAUCCAGGGAGGCUGGUCCUAAGGCCUCAUGUUAAAUAGGCGGGGCUUGCCUUCUGGUGUUGGACAAGCUGCUGAGAUGUCAUGAGGAGAUUCUGCCUUUGCCAGAUGAAAGGAAAUUAAGGCAACAAAAGAAG